Molecule: ribosomal RNA, 254 nt
Filed under: uncultured bacterium
Lineage: Bacteria
Description: partial 16S ribosomal RNA
Rfam family: Bacterial small subunit ribosomal RNA
Source: RNAcentral
UACGUAGGGUGCAAGCGUUGUCCGGAAUUAUUGGGCGUAAAGAGCUCGUAGGCGGCUCAGAAAGUCGGGUGUGAAACCUCCAGGCUCAACCUGGAGACGCCACCUGAUACUGCUGUGGCUAGAGUCCGGUAGGGGAACACGGAAUACCCGGUGUAGCGGUGAAAUGCUUAGAUAUCGGGUGGAACACCAGUGGCGAAGGCGUUGUUCUGGGCCGGAACUGACGCUGAGGAGCGAAAGCGUGGGUAGCAAACAGG